GACGAACGCUGGCGGCGCGCUUAACACAUGCAAGUCGAACGGAAAGGCCUGCUUUCCCUUGUGGAUUGCGGGUACUCGAGUGGCGAACGGGUGAGUAACACGUGAGUGAUCUGCCCCCAACUUGGGUAUAAGCCUGGGAAACUGGGUCUAAUUCCCGAUAGGACUGCAGGGUGGUGCCUGUGGUGGAAAACGAUUUUCUAGUGGUUGGGGAUGAGCUCGCGGCCUAUCAGCUUGUUGGUGGGGUAAUGGCCUACCAAGGCGGCGACGGGUAGCCGGCCUGAGAGGGUGGACGGCCACAUUGGGACUGAGAUACGGCCCAGACUCCUACGGGAGGCAGCAGUGGGGAAUAUUGCACAAUGGGCGGAAGCCAGAUGCAGCGACGCCGCGUGGGGGAUGACGGCCUUCGGGUUGUAAACUCCUUUCGACCGCGAGGAAGCCACCUGGUUGGAAGGGUGGUGACGGUAGUGGUAGAAGAAGCACCGGCUAACUACGUG
RNAcentral lists this ribosomal RNA (494 nucleotides) under uncultured bacterium. Its description in RNAcentral is "partial 16S ribosomal RNA". It matches the Rfam family "Bacterial small subunit ribosomal RNA", at positions 28 to 507 of the family's 1533-position model. The record is from RNAcentral.